This 301-nucleotide ribosomal RNA is filed under the name uncultured bacterium. Its description in RNAcentral is "partial 16S ribosomal RNA". It matches the Rfam family "Bacterial small subunit ribosomal RNA", at positions 509 to 807 of the family's 1533-position model. The record is from RNAcentral.
CAGUAGCCACGGGAAUACGGAGGGAGCUAGCGUUGUUCGGAAUUACUGGGCGUAAAGCGCACGUAGGCGGUUAUUCAAGUCAGAGGUGAAAGCCCGGGGCUCAACCCCGGAACUGCCUUUGAAACUAGAUGACUAGAAUCUUGGAGAGGUCAGUGGAAUUCCGAGUGUAGAGGUGAAAUUCGUAGAUAUUCGGAAGAACACCAGUGGCGAAGGCGACUGACUGGACAAGUAUUGACGCUGAGGUGCGAAAGCGUGGGGAGCAAACAGGAUUAGAUACCCGAGUAGUCCCUGUCUCUUAUAC